UAAAACACGAAAUCGCUCGCAAGAAAAAUGUCAAAACUGCUGGAAUUAAAAUCAUUUUUGCCGGUCGAGAAUUACCCGAUGAAUUAACACUCGGGAAUGCAGAGAUGAACCACAGCGUCAUUCAUGCUGUUCAGAAAUCUGGUCAGAUCUCAGUUGAUGCAACUUACAAUGCGAAUGAUGGUUUGACGAAAGUGAAACUGACACAGGAUGACGAAGAUGAAGAUGGUGAAUCUGAACAAUCAGGCAAGCAAAGUUUCUUCUUUGUUUAUUGUAAAACUUGCAAGAAACUAACACGAGGAAAAUUGCGAUGUCGAUGUUCAAAUUGCAAGGAAGGAAGCUUUGUUCUAUCACAGGGUCCAAAUGGUUGAGAUGAUGUAUUGAUCAAAGGCUGCAUGCAGGGACAAUGUGAAUCCAAUACAAACUAUCAGGGAAAAACAGCUGAAUUUUAUUUCAAAUGUGGGGAACAUCAUGGUAGAGAUGAACAGGCCCUAUUAUCAAUGUUGAAAUCUAACAUCAGAAAUAUUCCCUGCAUCACAUGCUCUAAAAUAUCGUAAGUUUACCCUUUCAUUUUAUGUCUCCUCCCAGAAAUAUUUAUCCUUCUGGGAAAGUUGAAUUUUUUAAUCCAAACCACAGUUAAUAGAAACUAAUAACUCUGAUCCAACAUGGUCAAUAUUUAAUCAAUUUUUUUCACUCAUCCAC
Molecule: long non-coding RNA, 699 nt
Organism: Dendronephthya gigantea
Lineage: Eukaryota; Metazoa; Cnidaria; Anthozoa; Malacalcyonacea; Nephtheidae
Exons: 5
Source: RefSeq, a predicted model, not a curated record